GCUUUGUCCCCUCUGAUCACAUACCUUUAGGUUUGGAUUUCUGAAAUUUGGGGUGAAUUUUGAUCAGAAUUCGAAGGAACAAGAGAAAAAAAUGAGCUUUCAAGAUCUAGAAUCGGGUCGAUCAGUGGGUCCACGUCGGGGCUUUAUGAACGGGAAGCAAGACACUACCCAAGCGGUCGCCUCAGGAAUUUUCCAGAUCAACACCGCCGUCUCCACAUUUCAGAGGCUGGUUAACACCCUAGGUACACCUAAGGACACCCCUGAGCUACGCGACAAGCUGCACAAGACAAGGCUACAUAUUGGGCAAUUAGUGAAAGAUACUUCCACAAAACUUAAGCAAGCGAGUGAAACAGAUCAUCGAGUUGAAGUCAGUGCUAGCAAGAAA
This 385-nucleotide unclassified non-coding RNA is filed under the name Hevea brasiliensis (rubber tree). The record is from RNAcentral. Lineage: Eukaryota; Viridiplantae; Streptophyta; Magnoliopsida; Malpighiales; Euphorbiaceae.